AAAGAAUUAGUUUAAAAAAAACAUUAAAUUGUCAAUUUAAAAAUAUUUAACACACAAAAAUAUUCUUAU
RNAcentral lists this transfer RNA (69 nucleotides) under Pseudomyrmex janzeni. RNAcentral's name for it is "tRNA-Asp". The record is from RNAcentral. Lineage: Eukaryota; Metazoa; Arthropoda; Insecta; Hymenoptera; Formicidae.